UACGUAGGGGGCAAGCGUUGUCCGGAAUCAUUGGGCGUAAAGAGCGUGUAGGCGGCUCGGUAAGUCCGCUGUGAAAGUCCAGGGCUCAACCCUGGAAUGCCGGUGGAAACUGUCGAGCUAGAGUCCGGAAGAGGCGAGUGGAAUUCCUGGUGUAGCGGUGAAAAUGCGCAGAUAGUCAGGAGGAACACCAAUGGCGAAGGCAGCUCGCUGGGACGGUACUGACGCUGAGACGCGAAAGCGUGGGGAGCAAACAGG
RNAcentral lists this ribosomal RNA (255 nucleotides) under uncultured bacterium. Its description in RNAcentral is "partial 16S ribosomal RNA". It matches the Rfam family "Bacterial small subunit ribosomal RNA", at positions 524 to 776 of the family's 1533-position model. The record is from RNAcentral.